AUGAUUUCUUAAAAGAAGGCCAUGGUUCAAACGCAAAGAAAUAAAACAUGCUCACUGGAGAGGAAAGAAUAUAAUUCUUUAAUAAAGGAAAAGAAACUAACACGGAGCAGACUCGAAAUACUGGGGUUUCAAGUCUGCUGGCCUUCAUAGUGGAACUAAACCUGCAGCUGUCCUGGGCGUCCAGCUUGUCAACUCAUCCUGCAGAUCUUGGCAGUUGUCAGCCUCCAUAAUUAUGAUUCGCUUAGCCUC
Molecule: long non-coding RNA, 249 nt
Organism: Lutra lutra (Eurasian river otter)
Lineage: Eukaryota; Metazoa; Chordata; Mammalia; Carnivora; Mustelidae
Exons: 3
Source: RefSeq, a predicted model, not a curated record